UAUAUAUAUUUGUAUACCCAUAUGAUUAUUGUAACAAAUGUGUAUAGGUACUUUAAGAAAAUACAAAUCGUUUUUUUUUUUUUUUUUUUGGUUUUUGAGGAAAAAAAAAACAUUUUAAAAAGGCUGUCAUUUACGUCAACUAUGUAUAACGAUUAAACGCUUAAGUAUUAUUAUUAUUAUUAUUAUUAUUAUUAUUAUUGUACGGUAGAGUUAAUGUAACAAAAAGGUUGAAAAACCUAUGAAAUUAUCGUGCUACAUUAUGCAAUAGCGUUCACGCAUAAGGAUUUACGAUAAUAUGAUGUUGUGUACGAUUUCCCGUUUUUACGCGUCCGCGCCCGAAACGCCAUUCCAUUAUUAUUAUUAUUAUCAUUAUUAUUAUUUGAACUCUGCAAACGGGGGGGGGGGGGGGUGGGCUGGGAGUGUGAGGGGGAGAGGAGAGAAAACCAAUAAACAAAUUUUCGAAAAUACACCGCGUUCCUAUAUAUAUGUAUAAAUAUAUACGUACAUUUGGUCGUAUGCUGUUUGUACCAUCCGACAUGUUUUUACCCCGUUCGGCGGCUGUACUCGCGAAUAGUAAAAAAAAAAAAAAUAAAAAAAAAACAAAACAAAAAAAACAAUGACGACGCCCGGUCGGUAAGGCCGCGAGACACGGAUAACGGAAUAACAUACACUUUCGUUUUCUAUCUUUAUUGUCGUUACGAUUACUGUUAAUGAUUUUUUCUUUUUCGCCCCGGCGUCCCGUUGCCCGUACGCGACGUCGUCGCGCAAAAUUUAACCGGCCGGGCGCGAUACGAAACGAGCGAAAAAUAAACAAAAAAAAAAAAAUUCCAAUCGAAACAGUUACCGUUCGAAUAGUUUUUGUUCCGUCUCUCGCGAUUUUUCGGUUUUUUUUCCCUCCGAAUCCACAAUGGCGAUUCCGCCGCACGCCGCAGUCGUCGUCGCGCGCGCGUCCCGUCCGUUCGCUUUUCGUUCCGCCCGCGGGCAAACCGUACGGUAACGGCAAGACCGUCCACGUCGCCGCCCGCGACAGUCACCAAAACGCGACAUUUACACCCGACCGCACGACGAUCGCCGGUCGGGGCGGGGCCGCGGUUCGAAACGGUACGCACAGUCCCGCGCCGCGGGCGUAAUUUUUAAUUUUUUCUUUUUUUUUUUUUUUUAUCCCUAUUGCUGUUCAUUUCCAGUCGGAUUCGAUAUUUUUUCUCUUGCGUCCUUCACUCUAUACUGUGCAUUACGGUUAUUAUUAUUGCAACUGUGUUAUCGACCGUCGACGCGCGUAUACGCGGUUUCCGCGGUUUUGUACCGCGCGGCAGUAUGCCGGGAGCGCUUCUAAAAUAAAUAUCGUUUUUAUUCCGAGUAUACGCGACCUAAACGAUUGCCGUCGCACGGCCAUAUUGUUAUUAAUAUCCGGAAAACUCGAUGGUAAAAAACAAAAAAACAAAAAAAAAAAAUUAAUAACAAUACAGAACCUACUACGAGUCCUACGAGUAUCGCGGUUAUUAUCGUACACGAAUAUAUACGUCUCAUGUAUACGAUUAAAUAUUACAAUAGUAUAUUAAGUAUUUAGUGUUAAGUAUUAUGAAAAAAAAAAAAAAAAAACCAUUUGUUGGAAAAACAAAACAAAAAAAAAAAAUAAUAACAAAAACCCGACAAUUUCACUCGUGUUCUACCGGUUCGUCCGGGCAUAAUAAAUGCAACGACACGACCCACUCAUUUGUAGGAUUUCGACUAUAUUUCAUUAUUAUUAUUUUUUAUUUAUUUUUUUUUUUUUUUUUUUUUUUUUUUUUUUUGUUUACAAGGUUACUAUUACGAUAUAAUAUUAUUAUUAUUAUUAUUAUUGUCAUUAUUAUUAUUAUUAUUAUUAUUAUUAUUAUUUUGUUUUUCAUUUUAAGUAUUAUCGAACUAUAUACGUCAUUAUAAUAUUAUUAUUAUUAUUAUUAUUAUUAUAUAUAUAAAAAAAAAAUCCUUUUGUACAUAAUAUAUUUUAAUUUUCAAAUAUAUACAUAUAUAUAUAUAUAUAUAUAUAUACAUAAAUAUACAUAAUAAAUACAGCGUUAACUACAUCCGACGGUACGAUAUUAUUG
This is a non-coding RNA of Cinara cedri, 2084 nucleotides long. The record is from the annotation of a GenBank genome assembly. Lineage: Eukaryota; Metazoa; Arthropoda; Insecta; Hemiptera; Aphididae.